This 255-nucleotide long non-coding RNA is filed under the name Mytilus galloprovincialis (Mediterranean mussel). The record is from RNAcentral. Lineage: Eukaryota; Metazoa; Mollusca; Bivalvia; Mytilida; Mytilidae.
GUCCAAAUGAAUAUCCUAAUCCUGAAGAUGUAACCAGCAAUUUGGUAAAAAAAAAUUGUCGUAAUCUUUUAAGGUUGCGAAGGAGCAGUGGCCACAAGAAAAAGUGUUUGGGGAGAUAACUCUUACAACGUAAAAAAGUAUUUUGUUACGCGGUUGUAAAUUUUUAAAGCGUAUAAUCUAUACGAUAUCAUAUUCCAAAUAUCUAAGCGACAUCUUUUGAAACAUCAAUACUACGCAAGAAAAAAAAUUAGGCGA